Amblyraja radiata (thorny skate) is the source of this 125-nucleotide long non-coding RNA. RefSeq lists it as uncharacterized. The record is from RefSeq and is a predicted model, not a curated record. NCBI's taxonomy places the organism in Eukaryota, Metazoa, Chordata, Chondrichthyes, Rajiformes, Rajidae. The transcript has 3 exons.
UCAGAUUAAAAAAAAGUUCCCACGGCAGACUCAUGAGACACUAAGGUAAACACACGGGCCACUACAUUCUUAAAACGAGUUUAAAUGUUUCAAUUUUUAACUUCAGCAGUACAUUUUACUCAUGG